AGUGGAUGGACAUGUAAAUGAACGCGAAGUCAUGCGGACUGCAAUUCAAGCUGACCACAGCUCAGGGUGAAUUCGUGUCACCCCUGUUACUGUGGCAAAUGGGCGCACCAUUAGAUUAGCUGCAAUUGGCAUUAGUAACUCUGGAGAAGCUUUUGCAAACUCAUCUUCUCUUUAUUUGAGGUGGGAACUUAUCAGUUGUAAUGAGAUGGCUAAUUGGGAUGAUGCUGAUAAUUUAGAGAGGUCGGAGCACAGUUGGGAGAGGUUAUAGAGCUUGAAAAACUAGUCAGGCCUGUGUACAGUUCAUGCUACUGCCAUUGGUUUCAGGGAUAACAUGGGUGGUCAUUAGUCUGUUCCAUUGCUUGAUAGUCCAGAGAAUGUUCUUGCAGAUGCAAUUCGUAUACAGCUAGUUUCUACUCUAAUGGUCAGCCCAGAGUUCAAUCUGGUGUUUUUCAAUCCCAAUGCUAAGAGAAAUACCGGCUAAAUCACAAUAAUGUCUACCUCCUUGGAAGGUUGUUUGCUCAAAGAUACCUUAGAACGCUGGGAAUCACAGGCUCAUCCAUUAUGUAGCUUUGCGCAAAGAUCUUCAAGUUAAUUUGGGAACUUUUGGCUCUUUAUAUCGAUUGGCCUUCUCGUCCUUCGUUUUUUGAGUUUCUUGCUAGGGCUUAAAGUUUUUUCUUUCUCUGCAGGUAAAUUAUAACGCCAAAGGGUUUUGGCGAACGAGACAAUUGUUCUUUAAUCCAUCAGAUCAAACUCCUUGCACUGCUCCUACCGAUGACAGUCAACAACUCCCUUCUCUCCUCCCUCCCUCUUACCAAGCUCACUGAGGUUUUGGUUGAUGUACAUGCAGACCCCAACUUUCUGGUGGCAUAUGGAUCAAUUAGUCUGUAACAGGAAUGGUUCUCGAUUCAAUUUUUGUCAUGUUGGGAUCAUAGUUAGUGUCGAAUUUUGUAAAUCUGGAGGAAUUCUAGGCUAUUUAUUACAAAAGCUUUGAACAAUUGGUAGAAGAAAUAAAAGCUUUGAACAAUUCUAGGCUGUUCUAGUCAUGGUGCAAGGUCUGUCACUCAGUACUUUCACUGCGUCACGUAGUGGUGGGCUGUGUGGAUCGAUGCCUUCGUGGAGGAAGCAUUUCAAAUUGAUGGGGAAACCCGGAUAAGCUCUGGUAUUGAAAGGCAUGGUAGCUGCCACCUGUGCCAUCAAAGCUUGGUCUUUGGAGGUAACCGGGGAUAUGUCAAGAGUCUCGAGACAAAGGAGCGUGAGGGUGGAACCUGGGUGGCUGUAUAAAGGGGGUGAUCAGGGAAGCUCCGAGCGAAGGGAGAGUGCUAAUGAGGAUAUUCUGAUAUUCAUUUUCCUGCUCGACCUGGCAACUCGAGUACAUGUUUGAUAGGGAUCAUUUUAUAGUUUUCAUAUUGUAGUAGGUUAAGUGGUACAGAAUAUCUCUCAAUUUCUCUCGACUUUGUUAGUCUAACAAGCAUUUGCCUUUUUUUGGGGUGCAUUGGCGAGAAGAGUCUAUCAGUGCAGCCUUGGUCAAGUUUACUUGAUGUGGCGAUGAUUCCAAAUCAAAUAGAGAUGGACUCCAGCACAGUUAAUAACUUGAGGCAAUUACUCGUGAACAUCUCACACUGAUUAUUUGUUCAUACACAAGCAGAUAGCAUGGUGUUGCUGAA
Prunus mume (Japanese apricot) is the source of this 1664-nucleotide non-coding RNA. NCBI's taxonomy places the organism in Eukaryota, Viridiplantae, Streptophyta, Magnoliopsida, Rosales, Rosaceae. The record is from RefSeq and is a predicted model, not a curated record.